ACCAGACUCCUACGGGAGGCAGCAGUGAGGAAUAUUGGUCAAUGGCCGAGAGGCUGAACCAGCCAAGUCGCGUGAGGGAAGAAUGUCCUAAGGAUUGUAAACCUCUUUUGUCGGGGAGCAAAAAGGCUCUGCGGAGUCGUAUUGAGAGUACCCGAAGAAAAAGCAUCGGCUAACUCCGUGCCAGCAGCCGCGGUAAUACGGAGGAUGCGAGCGUUAUCCGGAUUUAUUGGGUUUAAAGGGUGCGCAGGCGGCGUGUCAAGCAAGGGGUAAAAUGGCGGGGCUCAACCUCGCUCCGCCGUUGAAACUGGCGUUCUUGAGUGGGCGAGAAGUAUGCGGAAUGCGUGGUGUAGCGGUGAAAUGCAUAGAUAUCACGCAGAACCCCGAUUGCGAAGGCAGCAUACCGGCGCCCUACUGACGCUGAGGCACGAAAGUGCGGGUAUCGAACAGGAUUAGAUACCCGAGUA
Molecule: ribosomal RNA, 464 nt
Filed under: uncultured bacterium
Lineage: Bacteria
Description: bacterial SSU rRNA
Rfam family: Bacterial small subunit ribosomal RNA
Source: RNAcentral